Molecule: non-coding RNA, 24 nt
Filed under: Arabidopsis thaliana (thale cress)
Lineage: Eukaryota; Viridiplantae; Streptophyta; Magnoliopsida; Brassicales; Brassicaceae
Source: RNAcentral
AACAGAUUGAGGUCCGGUGUUUGU